CUGGUUGAUUCUGCCAGUAGUUAUAUGCUUGUCUCAAAGAUUAAGCCAUGCAUGUCUAAGUACAAACUGUUUUUAUAGUGAAACCGCAAAAGGCUCAGUACAACAGUUAUCAUUUAUUUGAUCAAUUAAAACAGUUACUUGGAUAACUGUGGUAAUUCCAGAGCUAAUACAUGCAAACAACAUGAAUCAUUCAUAGCAAUAUGGAUUGAGACAUGUGCUUUUAUUAGACUUUAAAACCAAUAUCUACACCUUUCACGGGGUGUAGGUUUGUUUUAGAUGAAUCUGGAUAAUUAUGGCUGAUCGUAUGGUCUUUGCACCGACGAUAGAUCAUUCAAAUGUCUGCCCUAUCAACUAUUGAUGGUAGUAUAGAGGACUACCAUGGUUGCAACGGGUAACGGGGAAUCAGGGUUCGAUUCCGGAGAGGGAGCCUGAGAAACGGCUACCACAUCUAAGGAAGGCAGCAGGCGCGUAAAUUACCCAAUCCCGGCACGGGGAGGUAGUGACGAAAAAUAACAAUACAGGACUCACAUCCGAGGCCCUGUAAUUGGAAUGAGUACACGUUAAAUCUUUUAACAAGUAACAAUUGGAGGGCAAGUCUGGUGCCAGCAGCCGCGGUAAUUCCAGCUCCAAUAGCGUAUAUUAAAGUUGUUGCGGUUAAAACGUUCGUAGUUGAAUUUGUGUCCCACACGGGUAAUGCACCCAAGUGCGGGUUUUGCAUUACUUGUUGCAUAUGUAUGUCUACCGUCAAAAAGUGGCGCAUAUUGUAUGUGACUUUAAGUGUGACGGAUGUUUUACCGGUGAGGGAAACGAUUAUCAUCAUAUAGUGCUUCAUUUUUAAUGGACUCUAUUGUUAAUACGCCCCUUAUGCGUAUAACCCACUUUGGUGCUCUUCACCGAGUGCCACUGUGGGCCGGUACAGUUACUUUGAACAAAUUAGAGUGCUCAAAGCAGGGUAAAUUUAAUGUAAAAGUUAAAACGCCUGAAUAUAUUUUGCAUGGAAUAAUGGAAUAGGACCUCUGUUCUAUUUUCACAAUUGGUUUUAUAGAGAUCCAAGAGGUAAUGAUUAAUAGAAGCAGUUGGGGGCAUUAGUAUUACGAGGCGAGAGGUGAAAUUCGUAGACCCUCGUAAGACUGACUUAAGCGAAAGCAUCUGCCAAGGAUGUUUUCAUUAAUCAAGAACGAAAGUUAGAGGAUCGAAGGCGAUCAGAUACCGCCCUAGUUCUAACCAUAAACGAUGCCAGCUAGCAAUUGGAUGUAGCUACUUUAUCUCUAGGCUCAUUCAGUCGCUUUCCGGGAAACCAAAGCUUUUGGGCUCCGGGGGAAGUAUGGUUGCAAAGCUGAAACUUAAAGGAAUUGACGGAAGGGCACCACCAGGAGUGGAGCCUGCGGCUUAAUUUGACUCAACACGGGAAAACUUACCAGGUCCGAACAUAAAUGAGUAAGACAGAUUGAUAGCUCUUUCUCGAAUCUAUGGGUGGUGGUGCAUGGCCGUUCUUAGUUCGUGGAGUGAUUUGUCUGGUUAAUUCCGAUAACGAACGAGACUCAAACGCCUUUAAAUAGAUGCUUGCAGGACUAUGGCGCUGAAACCAUAUGUAUUCCUCUGAUUGGAAUGGGCACCUCGUGUGUUUUGUUCUGAUUUGUGGGUAUUUUAUGUAUGGUGGAGCCAUACCUGUUUGGUUUGUCUUGAGAGGACACUCUGCUUCUUAAACGGACAAAAUGCGUCUAGCAUUAAUGAGGAUGAGCAAUAACAGGUCUGUGAUGCCCUUAGAUGUCCUGGGCUGCACGCGCGCUACAAUGAAGGUAUCAAUGUGUUUUAUCCUUGACCGAGAGGUAUGGGUAAACAUUGAACUACCUUCGUGGUUGGGAUUGUGGACUGUAACUGUUCGCAUGAACCCGGAAUUCCCAGUAAGUGUGAGUCAUAAGCUUGCAUUGAUUACGUCCCUGCCCUUUGUACACACCGCCCGUCGCUACUACUGAUGAAUUGUUUAGUGAGGUCUCUGGACGUGUGCUACUAAUUGUCCUUUAUUGGGCGAUUUGGUAUAUGCUACACCGAAGUUGACCGAACUUGAUUAUUUAGAGGAAGUAAAAGUCGUAACAAGGUUUCCGUAGGUGAACCUGCAG
RNAcentral lists this ribosomal RNA (2120 nucleotides) under Phlebotomus tobbi. Its description in RNAcentral is "SSU rRNA". It matches the Rfam family "Eukaryotic small subunit ribosomal RNA". The record is from RNAcentral. Lineage: Eukaryota; Metazoa; Arthropoda; Insecta; Diptera; Psychodidae.